UACAGAGGUGGCAAGCGUUGUUCGGAAUUACUGGGCGUAAAGCGUGCGCAGGCGGUGAUGUAAGACAGUUGUGAAAUCCCCGGGCUCAACCUGGGAAUUGCAUCUGUGACUGCAUCGCUAGAGUACGGUAGAGGGGGAUGGAAUUCCGCGUGUAGCAGUGAAAUGCGUAGAUAUGCGGAGGAACACCGAUGGCGAAGGCAAUCCCCUGGACCUGUACUGACGCUCAUGCACGAAAGCGUGAGGAGCAAACAGG
This 253-nucleotide ribosomal RNA is filed under the name uncultured bacterium. RNAcentral describes it as "partial 16S ribosomal RNA". It matches the Rfam family "Bacterial small subunit ribosomal RNA", at positions 524 to 776 of the family's 1533-position model. The record is from RNAcentral.